This 74-nucleotide transfer RNA is filed under the name Erwinia tracheiphila. It matches the Rfam family "tRNA". From Rfam's summary of the family: Transfer RNA (tRNA) molecules are approximately 80 nucleotides in length. Their secondary structure includes four short double-helical elements and three loops (D, anti-codon, and T loops). Lineage: Bacteria; Pseudomonadati; Pseudomonadota; Gammaproteobacteria; Enterobacterales; Erwiniaceae. The record is from Rfam by way of RNAcentral.
GCACCCGUAGCUCAGCUGGAUAGAGUACUCGGCUACGAACCGAGCGGUCGGAGGUUCGAAUCCUCCCGGGUGCA